GGGAUAACACUUGGAAACAGGUGCUAAUACCGUAUAACACUAUUUUCCGCAUGGAAGAAAGUUGAAAGGCGCUUUUGCGUCACUGAUGGAUGGACCCGCGGUGCAUUAGCUAGUUGGUGAGGUAACGGCUCACCAAGGCCACGAUGCAUAGCCGACCUGAGAGGGUGAUCGGCCACACUGGGACUGAGACACGGCCCAGACUCCUACGGGAGGCAGCAGUAGGGAAUCUUCGGCAAUGGACGAAAGUCUGACCGAGCAACGCCGCGUGAGUGAAGAAGGUUUUCGGAUCGUAAAACUUUGUUGUUAGAGAAGAACAAGGAUGAGAGUAAAAUGUUCAUCCCUUGACGGUAUCUAACCAGAAAGCCACGGCUAACUACGUGCCAGCAGCCGCGGUAAUACGUAGGUGGCAAGCGUUGUCCGGAUUUAUUGGGCGUAAAGCGAGCGCAGGCGGUUUCUUAAGUCUGAUGUGAAAGCCCCCGGCUCAACCGGGGAGGGUCAUUGGAGACUGGGAGACUUGAGUGCAGAAGAGGAGAGUGGAAUUCCAUGUGUAGCGGUGAAAUGCGUAGAUAUAUGGAGGAACACCAGUGGCGAAGGCGGCUCUCUGGUCUGUAACUGACGCGGAGGCUCGAAAGCGUGGGGAGCGAACAGGAUUAGAUACCCUGGUAGUCCACGCCGUAAACGAUGAGUGCUAAGUGUUGGAGGGUUUCCGCCCUUCAGUGCUGCAGCA
This 727-nucleotide ribosomal RNA is filed under the name uncultured bacterium. RNAcentral's name for it is "bacterial SSU rRNA". It matches the Rfam family "Bacterial small subunit ribosomal RNA", at positions 140 to 853 of the family's 1533-position model. The record is from RNAcentral.